RNAcentral lists this ribosomal RNA (502 nucleotides) under Klebsiella pneumoniae. RNAcentral's name for it is "bacterial LSU rRNA". It matches the Rfam family "Bacterial large subunit ribosomal RNA", at positions 1324 to 1812 of the family's 2925-position model. The record is from RNAcentral. Lineage: Bacteria; Pseudomonadati; Pseudomonadota; Gammaproteobacteria; Enterobacterales; Enterobacteriaceae.
AAAAGCCCGCUCGCCGGAAGACCAAGGGUUCCUGUCCAACGUUAAUCGGGGCAGGGUGAGUCGACCCCUAAGGCGAGGCCGAAAGGCGUAGUCGAUGGGAAACAGGUUAAUAUUCCUGUACUUGGUGUUACUGCGAAGGGGGGACGGAGAAGGCUAUGUUAGCCGGGCGACGGUUGUCCCGGUUUAAGCAUGUAGGCUGAUUGUCCAGGCAAAUCCGGAUAAUCAAGGCUGAGGUGUGAUGACGAGGCACUACGGUGCUGAAGUAACAAAUGCCCUGCUUCCAGGAAAAGCCUCUAAGCAUCAGGUAACAUUAAAUCGUACCCCAAACCGACACAGGUGGUCAGGUAGAGAAUACCAAGGCGCUUGAGAGAACUCGGGUGAAGGAACUAGGCAAAAUGGUGCCGUAACUUCGGGAGAAGGCACGCUGGUGUGUAGGUGAAGUCCCUGCGGAUGGAGCUGAGACCAGUCGAAGAUACCAGCUGGCUGCAACUGUUUAUUAAAA